UGCAGUCGACGGUCUCUUCGGAGAUAGUGGCGGACGGGUGAGUAACGCGUGAGAAUCUAGCUCUAGGUCGGGGACAACCACUGGAAACGGUGGCUAAUACCGGAUGUGCCGAAAGGUGAAAGAUUUAUUGCCUAGAGAUGAGCUCGCGUCUGAUUAGCUAGUUGGUGUGGUAAGAGCGCACCAAGGCGACGAUCAGUAGCUGGUCUGAGAGGAUGAUCAGCCACACUGGGACUGAGACACGGCCCAGACUCCUACGGGAGGCAGCAGUGGGGAAUUUUCCGCAAUGGGCGAAAGCCUGACGGAGCAAUACCGCGUGAGGGAGGAAGGCUCUUGGGUUGUAAACCUCUUUUCUCAGGGAAUAAAAAAAUGAAGGUACCUGAGGAAUAAGCAUCGGCUAACUCCGUGCCAGCAGCCGCGGUAAUACGGAGGAUGCAAGCGUUAUCCGGAAUGAUUGGGCGUAAAGCGUCCGCAGGUGGCACUGUAAGUCUGCUGUUAAAGAGCAAGGCUCAACCUUGUAAAGGCAGUGGAAACUACAGAGCUAGAGUACGUUCGGGGCAGAGGGAAUUCCUGGUGUAGCGGUGAAAUGCGUAGAGAUCAGGAAGAACACCGGUGGCGAAAGCGCUCUGCUAGGCCGUAACUGACACUGAGGGACGAAAGCUAGGGGAGCGAAUGGGAUUAGAUACCCCAGUAGUCCUAGCCGUAAACGAUGGAUACUAGGCGUGGCUUGUAUCGACCCGAGCCGUGCCGGAGCCAACGCGUUAAGUAUCCCGCCUGGGGAGUACGCACGCAAGUGUGAAACUCAAAGGAAUUGACGGGGGCCCGCACAAGCGGUGGAGUAUGUGGUUUAAUUCGAUGCAACGCGAAGAACCUUACCAAGACUUGACAUGUCGCGAAUCUUCUUGAAAGGAAGAGUGCCUUACGGAGCGCGAACACAGUGGUGCAUGGCUGUCGUCAGCUCGUGUCGUGAGAUGUGGGUUAGUCCGCACGAGCGCAACCCUCGUUUUAGUGCAGCAUACGUGGGCACUCUAGAGAGACUGCCGGUGACAAACCGGAGGAAGGUGGGGAUGACGUCAAGUCAGCAUGCCCCUUACGUCUCGGGCUACACACGUACUACAAUGCUACGGACAGAGGGCAGCAAGCUAGCGAUAGCAAGCAAAUCCCCUAAACCGUAGUUCAGUUCAGAUCGCAGGUUGCAACUUGCCUGCGUGAAGGUGGAAUCGCUAGUAAUUGCAGGUCAGCAUACUGCAGUGAAUUCGUUCCCGGGCCUUGUACACACCGCCCGUCACACCAUGGAAGCUGGCAACGCCCGAAGUCAUCACUCCAACUUUUAGGAGAGGAGGAUGCCUAAGGCAGUGCCAGUGGCUGGGGAGAAGUCGAUACCAAGUAACUGUACUGGAAGGUGUGGCUGGAUCACCUCCUUUUAGGGAGUCCUACCCAACUAGGAAUAGAAAGCGUAAAGCGAAUAGAGGAACAGAUGGUCUACUUUAGGUCGGUCCUAGAUAUUGUCAAAG
RNAcentral lists this ribosomal RNA (1511 nucleotides) under Nostoc oryzae TAU-MAC 2710. RNAcentral's name for it is "bacterial SSU rRNA". It matches the Rfam family "Bacterial small subunit ribosomal RNA". Lineage: Bacteria; Bacillati; Cyanobacteriota; Cyanophyceae; Nostocales; Nostocaceae. The record is from RNAcentral.